Molecule: ribosomal RNA, 446 nt
Filed under: uncultured bacterium
Lineage: Bacteria
Description: partial 16S ribosomal RNA
Rfam family: Bacterial small subunit ribosomal RNA
Source: RNAcentral
CCUACGGGUGGCAGCAGUCGAGAAUCAUUCACAAUGGGGGAAACCCUGAUGGUGCGACGCCGCGUGGGGGAAUGAAGGUCUUCGGAUUGUAAACCCCUGUCAUGUGGGAGCAAAUUAAAAAGAUAGUACCACAAGAGGAAGAGACGGCUAACUCUGUGCCAGCAGCCGCGGUAAUACAGAGGUCUCAAGCGUUGUUCGGAAUCACUGGGCGUAAAGCGUGCGUAGGCUGUUUCGUAAGUCGUGUGUGAAAGGCGGGGGCUCAACCCGCGGACGGCACAUGAUACUGCGAGACUAGAGUAAUGGAGGGGGAACCGGAAUGUUCGGUGUAGCAGUGAAAUGCGUAGAUAUCGAGAGGAACACUCGUGGCGAAGGCGGGUUCCUGGACAUUAACUGACGCUGAGGCACGAAGGCCAGGGGAGCGAAAGGGAUUAGAUACCCUGGUAGUC